RNAcentral lists this long non-coding RNA (987 nucleotides) under Cricetulus griseus (Chinese hamster). RNAcentral's name for it is "lncRNA (ENSCGRG00015034227.1)". Lineage: Eukaryota; Metazoa; Chordata; Mammalia; Rodentia; Cricetidae. The record is from RNAcentral.
CUCCACUCCUGAUCCACAAUGUGAUCCACCGGCAAGGAGGGAUGCCAAUAAGGCGUCUGAUAAGAUAAGUCUUAUAAAAUAUAUAGGUUUAUGAUAAUUAAAACUGAGCUAACAGAUGAGAAUCCUAGUCAUUGGCCAAGCUGCAUUGAACCUAAUACAAGUUUCUGUGUAUUCAUUUGGGCCAAACUCAGGCAGGUGGCUGGCAUAAAACGCACAUGUGACAGUGGGACUCCGGUGGCUUUUGGUGGAAAGAUUUAUCUUAACAAUGCUUUAUGGGCAUGAUGCAAGAUGCUCCCCUCCAGUCCGGGCUCCAAAGGAGCACCAACCAGAAUGACUUACUUUCUCAUUCUUAAACUCUUCAUUUGGAAUAAAUAACAGUGUUAACCAUGUGGAUGCUUGACUGUGGUUUAAGACCAUGAGUAAUUUUCUAAGAACAAAAUCUCAGUGAGCUCACCAACAGUAAACCCGCCAGCUUCCAUACAGCAGCUUCCUUGGCUCAGGCUCUGAAAUAACUGUAGUAUUUUAGAGUUCCAGCCUUUGUCAGAACGCAAGGACAAGACUUGAAUAAAAUCAUGUUUUCUGUGGAUCUAAACUGAAAUCACAGCUUAUUGAACAGAACAUUUCGAUUUUCAGAGUUGGGAAACUGACACUCAGAGAGAAUGCUGUGCUCAAGAUGAAGAAGCCAGGCCCCUGAUUAAGCUCACACAGCCAAUAACAACAGCAGAGCCAGCAUCAAAGAACUUCAAGAUUAAGAUCUGUUAGUAGGGGGACAGGAGAGAUGGUUCAGUGACUAAGAGCACUGGCUACUCUUCCAGGGGACCUGGGUUCAAGUCCCAGCACCCACAUUGCAACUACCUAAAACUCACAACUACCUAAAACUCCAGUCCCUGGGGAUCUGACACCUUUUGGUCUCCAUGAGCACCAGGCAUGCACAUGCUGCACAGAGAGACAGGCAAAAUACCCAGACACGUGAAAAAACAAGAAAGC